GACGAACGCUGGCGGCGUGCCUAAUACAUGCAAGUUGAGCGCUGAAGGUUGGUACUUGUACCAACUGGAUGAGCAGCGAACGGGUGAGUAACGCGUGGGGAAUCUGCCUUUGAGCGGGGGACAACAUUUGGAAACGAAUGCUAAUACCGCAUAAAAACUUUAAACACAAGUUUUAAGUUUGAAAGAUGCAAUUGCAUCACUCAAAGAUGAUCCCGCGCUGUAUUAGCUAGUUGGUGAGGUAAAGGCUCACCAAGGCGAUGAUACAUAGCCGACCUGAGAGGGUGAUCGGCCACAUUGAGACUGAGACACGGCCCAAACUCCUACGGGAGGCAGCAGUAGGGAAUCUUCGGCAAUGGACGAAAGUCUGACCGAGCAACGCCGCGUGAGUGAAGAAGGUUUUCGGAUCGUAAAACUCUGUUGGUAGAGAAGAACGUUGGUGAGAGUGGAAAGCUCAUCAAGUGACGGUAACUACCCAGAAAGGGACGGCUAACUACGUG
RNAcentral lists this ribosomal RNA (497 nucleotides) under uncultured bacterium. RNAcentral's name for it is "partial 16S ribosomal RNA". It matches the Rfam family "Bacterial small subunit ribosomal RNA", at positions 28 to 507 of the family's 1533-position model. The record is from RNAcentral.